Molecule: ribosomal RNA, 472 nt
Filed under: Tropiphorus carinatus
Lineage: Eukaryota; Metazoa; Arthropoda; Insecta; Coleoptera; Curculionidae
Description: partial 16S ribosomal RNA
Source: RNAcentral
CUUUUGAUUAUAAUUUAAGGUCUGGCCUGCCCAAUGAAUUUUAAAUGGCCGCGGUAUABUGACCGUGCAAAGGUAGCAUAAUCAUUAGUUUUUUAAUUGAAAGCUGGAAUGAAAGGUUGGAUGAAANNAUAAUUGUCUCUAUUUGAAUUAUUUAGAAUUUUAUUUAUAAGUAAAAAAGCUUAUAUAUAAUUAGAAGACGAGAAGACSCUAUAGAGUUUUAUUAAUUAAUAUAAUGAAAUUUUUAGUAUUUAUAUUUUUUUAUAUAUAAUUAAAUUGAUUGGGGUGAUUGAAAAAUUUAAUUAACUUUUUUUUAUUAUACACAUUAAUUUAUGGAUAAUUGAUCCUUAAUUAAAGAUUAUAAGAUGAAAUUACCUUAGGGAUAACAGCGUAAUUUUUUUAGAGAGUUCAAAUCGAAAAAAAAGAUUGCGACCUCGAUGUUGGAUUAAAAUAAAAUUUUGGUGUAGAAGCUAGA